CCCUAGUACGGCGAGUGAGCGGGAUGAGCUCAAAUUUAAAAUCUGGCUGCCUCAGGUGGUCCGAGUUGUAGUCUCGAGAAGUGUUUUCCGCGUUGGCCUGUGUACAAGUCCUUUGGAAUAAGGCGUCAUAGAGGGUGAGAAUCCCGUCCUUGACACAGAUCCCCAAUGCUUUGUGAUGCGCUCUCAAAGAGUCGAGUUGUUUGGGAAUGCAGCUCAAAAUGGGUGGUAAAUUCCAUCUAAAGCUAAAUAUUGGCGAGAGACCGAUAGCGAACAAGUACCGUGAGGGAAAGAUGAAAAGCACUUUGGAAAGAGAGUUAAACAGUACGUGAAAUUGUUGAAAGGGAAACGAUUGAAGUCAGUCAUGCUCGUAGGGAUUCAACCGGUUCUGCCGGCCUAUUUCCCUACUUGCAGGCCAGCAUCAGUUUUGACCGGUGGAAAAGGUUGGAGGGAAUGUGGCAUCCUCGGAUGUGUUAUAGCCCUCUUUCGCAUACAUCGGUUGGGACUGAGGAACGCAGCACGCCUUUAUGGUCGGUCUUCGGACACGUACGUGCUUAGGAUGCUGGCAUAAUGGCUUUAAACGACCCGUCUGAAA
This 592-nucleotide ribosomal RNA is filed under the name Itersonilia pannonica. Its description in RNAcentral is "eukaryotic LSU rRNA". It matches the Rfam family "Eukaryotic large subunit ribosomal RNA", at positions 78 to 658 of the family's 3401-position model. The record is from RNAcentral. Lineage: Eukaryota; Fungi; Basidiomycota; Tremellomycetes; Cystofilobasidiales; Mrakiaceae.